Molecule: ribosomal RNA, 1311 nt
Filed under: metagenome
Description: bacterial LSU rRNA
Rfam family: Bacterial large subunit ribosomal RNA
Source: RNAcentral
GGAAAAACCGUACCGCAAACCGACACAGGUAGGCAGGGUGAGAAUCCCAAGGCGCUUGAGAGAACUCGGGUGAAGGAACUAGGCAAAAUGGCACCGUAACUUCGGGAGAAGGUGCGCCCUUUGGUGUGGUCACGUGCGUGACUGAGCAUCGAAGGGUCGCAGUAACCUGGCCGCUGCGACUGUUUAUCAAAAACACAGCACUCUGCAAACACGAAAGUGGACGUAUAGGGUGUGACGCCUGCCCGGUGCUGGAAGGUUAAUUGAUGGGGUCAGCCGCAAGGCGAAGCUCUUGAUCGAAGCCCCAGUAAACGGCGGCCGUAACAAUAACGGUCCUAAGGUAGCGAAAUUCCUUGUCGGGUAAGUUCCGACCUGCACGAAUGGCGUAACGACAGCGGCGCUGUCUCCACCCGAGACUCAGUGAAAUUGAAAUCGCUGUGAAGAUGCAGCGUUCCCGCGGCAAGACGGAAAGACCCCGUGAACCUUUACUAUAGCUUUACACUGAACGUUGAGUUCUUCUGUGUAGGAUAGGUGGGAGGCUAUGAAACCAGGACGCUAGUUCUGGUGGAGCCAUCCUUGAAAUACCACCCUGAAGUGCUUGACGUUCUAACCUAGGCCCGUAAUCCGGGUCAGGGACCGUGUAUGGUGGGUAGUUUGACUGGGGCGGUCUCCUCCCAAAGAGUAACGGAGGAGCACGAAGGUACGCUCAGCGCGGUCGGACAUCGCGCACUGUGUGCAAAGGCAUAAGCGUGCUUGACUGCGAGAUCGACGGAUCAAGCAGGUACGAAAGUAGGUCUUAGUGAUCCGGUGGUUCUGUAUGGAAGGGCCAUCGCUCAACGGAUAAAAGGUACUCCGGGGAUAACAGGCUGAUACCGCCCAAGAGUUCAUAUCGACGGCGGUGUUUGGCACCUCGAUGUCGGCUCAUCACAUCCUGGGGCUGUAGCCGGUCCCAAGGGUAUGGCUGUUCGCCAUUUAAAGUGGUACGCGAGCUGGGUUCAGAACGUCGUGAGACAGUUCGGUCCCUAUCUGUCGUGGGCGUUGGAGAUUUGAGGGGGGCUGCUCCUAGUACGAGAGGACCGGAGUGGACGUUCCGCUGGUGUUCGGGUUGUCAUGCCCAUGGCAUUGCCCGGUAGCUACGAACGGAAGUGAUAACCGCUGAAAGCAUCUAAGCGGGAAGCACGCCCCAAGAUGAGAUCUCCCGAGAGCUUGACUCUCCUAAAGGCACCAUCAAGACUAGGUGGUUGAUAGGUCAGGUGUGGAAGCGCAGCAAUGCGUUGAGCUAACUGAUACUAAUGAGCCGUGAGGCUUGACCAA